This 497-nucleotide ribosomal RNA is filed under the name uncultured bacterium. RNAcentral describes it as "partial 16S ribosomal RNA". It matches the Rfam family "Bacterial small subunit ribosomal RNA", at positions 28 to 507 of the family's 1533-position model. The record is from RNAcentral.
GAUGAACGCUGGCGGCGUGCCUAAUACAUGCAAGUCGAGCGAACAGACGAGGAGCUUGCUCCUCUGACGUUAGCGGCGGACGGGUGAGUAACACGUGGAUAACCUACCUAUAAGACUGGGAUAACUUCGGGAAACCGGAGCUAAUACCGGAUAACAUGUUGAACCGCAUGGUUUAACAGUGAAAGACGGUCUUGCUGUCACUUAUAGAUGGAUCCGCGCCGCAUUAGCUAGUUGGUAAGGUAACGGCUUACCAAGGCAACGAUGCGUAGCCGACCUGAGAGGGUGAUCGGCCACAAUGGAACUGAGACACGGUCCAGACUCCUACGGGAGGCAGCAGUAGGGAAUCUUCCGCAAUGGGCGAAAGCCUGACGGAGCAACGCCGCGUGAGUGAAGAAGGUCUUCGGAUCGUAAAACUCUGUUAUUAGGGAAGAACAAAUGUGUAAGUAACUAUGCACGUCUUGACGGUACCUAAUCAGAAAGCCACGGCUAACUACGUG